UCAAUUAUUGUUAUAAUUUGUAAUGGAAUACAAAAGUGUAGUGUAACCAAUGGAUUUGAGCGGUUAUGUAUUUAAAGACGUAUAGGUAUGACGAAACUAUUUACAUUGAGAAAUAUUUCAUGCUUUGAAAUGUAAGUUUCUUAUAAGGGAGACCUAAAACUAAAAAUGUUGUGUAACCUGGCAAACUGAAACAUCUUAUUAGCCAGAGGCAAAAUAAAUCAAAUAGAGAUUCUGUAAUUAACGGUGAGUAAACGCAGAUAAGACCUUUGAGCUUUUAAUUAUGAACAAACUGAGUAUAUUUCAGACCGUAGGUUGGUUCAAGUCCCGUUUUUUUGUAAUAAACUAUAAGCUUAAUGAGUAAAAUGAUGCAGGAUUUGUUCAUUUGAAAGAGGGAGUCCAUCUUCCAAGUCUGAAAUAUGAAUACGUAGACCGAUAGUGGACAAAGUACCGUGAGGGAAAAAUGAAAAGAAACAAAAGUGAAAUAGAAUUUGAAAUUGGUUACUUUAGAAGCAAUUAUUCGUUUAAAGAAUAAUGUACCUUUUGCAUAAUGGGUCAACAAAUUGAAUAAAAAAGCAAUUUGUAUAAAAGUAAUGAAAGUAAUUCCCUAACGGGGAAUGCAGUUGUUUUAUUCAAACUCGAAACCGAGUGAUCUAGUUAUGAACAAAUUGAAGAUAUUUUAAAAACGUAUCGGAGGAUUGCACCCGUGUAUGUAGCAAUAUACUGGGAAGAUUUGUAGCUAGGGGUGAAAGGCUAAUCAAACUCGGAUAUAGCUAGUUUUCUACGAAAUCUAUUGAGGUAGUUUGGUAAUAAAAAAUUGAAGUGGGUAUAGCACUUACCAAUGUUGGUUAAACUAAAAAUAAUUUCAAAUUGUUAGUUACCAAGCAGAAUAUAGGCGCAAAGGUCUAUUUUUUCAAAAGGGAAACAGCCCAGACCUCCGGCUAAAGUCCAUAAAAAAAUUUGAGUGUAAAAAAAGAAUUUUGGAUGAUUAGAAUUGGCAAGUUGGCUUAGAAGCAGCCAUCCUUUAAAGAAAGCGUAACAGCUCGUCAAUCCUAGAAUUUAAAUAAUUCUGAAAAUGUAACAGGACUAAGAUUUUUACUUAAGCUAAGGUUGCUUUGAUUAUAAAAUUAAGUAAAGGCAAGGUAGUAGAACGACCAUUAAAGAUAUAUAUAUGUUUUCGAUAGAAAAAGUAUAUGGUGUGAUAAUGUUGACACGAGUAACGUUUAGGUUGGUGAAGAACAACCUCAUCAAAUAUGUAAGGAUUCCGAUGUAAAGUAACUUUCAUCGGGUUAGUCGGUCCCUAAUAGUUCUCUAUUUAUAAAAUAAGACUAGAUGGGUUAUUGGUCAGGCAACUACGAGUUUGCAUUAGUGUUAAUAACACUAAGCGCCCGUGUUAAUAAUAAAAUGCUUGACCUUUUGAGAAAAGUGACUUUUUAUUUAUUCAUGUUUAUUAAACUAAUUGCUUACGUGACUAUAUAAAUACUAGAAAAAGCUGUCUCAUAAAAAAACCGUACUUAAAGCCGACACAGGUAUUUUGAUAGAGUAUAUUAAGAUGAUUAAAAGAACAACACUGAAGGAACUCGGCAAAUUGACUCCGUAACUUCGGGAAAAGGAGUGCUUGCAUAGAGUAAUCUAUGUGUGCGUAACAGAAUAGGGGGUAGCGACUGUUUAAUAAAAACACAGGACUCUGCUAAAUUGAAAAAUGAUGUAUAGAGUCUGACAUCUGCCCGGUACCAUUAGAUAAACAAACGAGUUAUUGCUUGUGAGUAAAGGAUUGGUGAACGGCGGCUGUAACCAUAACGGUCCUAAGGUAGCGAAAUUCCCUGUCGGGUAAGUUCCGACCUGCAUGAAUGAUGUAACGACUUCCCCACUGUCUCCAGUGUUGCUUUAGUGAAACUGAAUUUGUUGUGAAGAUGCAAUAUUAAUAGUAAGUAGACGGAAAGACCCUGUACACCUUUACUAUAACACGGGAUUGUACGUUUGUUGUGUUUAUGUAGAAUAACUCUUAAGCUUAUAACUCACGUUACGCAAGUAACUUUGAUGAGGCGUCGAUGAAAUAAGAGUUUUGCGGAACAAAUCUCUGUAUAGUCACAUUAAAAAUCCAGUGUGGUUAGUUUAACUGGGGUGGUUGUCUUCUAAAAUGUAACGAAGAUGUAUAAAGGUAUAUUUUGAAUUUAAUGGUAAACUUAUGCUUAACUGUAAGAAUUACACUUCGAACAGAGACGAAAGUCGAUCAUAAUGAUCCAAUAGUGCUGUGUGGAAAGGCUAUUGCUCAACGGAUAAAAGGUACGUCAGGGAUAACAGGCUAAUAAAUCUUUAGAGUCCAUAUUUCCAGGUUUGUUUGGCACUUCGAUGUCGACUCAUCACAUCCUGGAGCUGCAGGAGGUUCCAAGGGUUGGGCUGUUCGCCCAUUAAAGUGGUACGUGAGUUGGGUUUAGAACGUUGUGAAACAGUUCGGUUCCUAUCUUUUACUUAUUUUAGAAUAAUAAAAUUAUAUCCCUCGUACGAGAGGAUUGGGGUGUGUAUGUCACUGGUACUUCAGUUAUUUUACUAAAUGGUAAGCUGAAAAGCUAAACAUAAAUUUAGAAUCGCUGAAAGCAUAUAAGCGAGAAAAUGUUUUUUAUUUAUUCUAUUUUUCUACUGAUAGAUUAUCAGUCCCUUAUAAGAUUUAGAGCUAGCAAUGGAUGGUCUUUAGAAUUGGGAAAAAUUUGAUUUUUGUAUUUUUUGUCUUUU
This 2730-nucleotide ribosomal RNA is filed under the name Balamuthia mandrillaris. RNAcentral's name for it is "LSU rRNA". It matches the Rfam family "Bacterial large subunit ribosomal RNA". The record is from RNAcentral. Lineage: Eukaryota; Discosea; Longamoebia; Balamuthiidae.